GAACGCUAGCUACAGGCUUAACACAUGCAAGUCGAGGGGAAACGACAUCGAAAGCUUGCUUUUGAUGGGCGUCGACCGGCGCACGGGUGAGUAACGCGUAUCCAACCUGCCCACCACUUGGGGAUAACCUUGCGAAAGUAAGACUAAUACCCAAUGAUAUCUCUAGAAGACAUCUGAAAGAGAUUAAAGAUUUAUCGGUGAUGGAUGGGGAUGCGUCUGAUUAGCUUGUUGGCGGGGUAACGGCUCACCAAGGCGACGAUCAGUAGGGGUUCUGAGAGGAAGGUCCCCCACAUUGGAACUGAGACACGGUCCAAACUCCUACGGGAGGCAGCAGUGAGGAAUAUUGGUCAAUGGACGAGAGUCUGAACCAGCCAAGUAGCGUGCAGGAUGACGGCCCUAUGGGUUGUAAACUGCUUUUAUAAGGGAAUAAAGUGAGUCUCGUGAGACUUUUUGCAUGUACCUUAUGAAUAAGGACCGGCUAAUUCCGUGCCAGCAGCCGCGGUAAUACGGAAGGUCCGGGCGUUAUCCGGAUUUAUUGGGUUUAAAGGGAGCGUAGGCCGGAGAUUAAGCGUGUUGUGAAAUGUAGACGCUCAACGUCUGCACUGCAGCGCGAACUGUCUUCCUUGAGUACGCACAAAGUGGGCGGAAUUCGUGGUGUAGCGGUGAAAUGCUUAGAUAUCACGAAGAACUCCGAUUGCGAAGGCAGCUCACUGGAGCGCAACUGACGCUGAAGCUCGAAAGUGCGGGUAUCGAACAGGAUUAGAUACCCUGGUAGUCCGCACGGUAAACGAUGGAUGCCCGCUGUUGGUCUGAAUAGGUCAGCGGCCAAGCGAAAGCAUUAAGCAUCCCACCUGGGGAGUACGCCGGCAACGGUGAAAC
RNAcentral lists this ribosomal RNA (879 nucleotides) under uncultured bacterium. Its description in RNAcentral is "bacterial SSU rRNA". It matches the Rfam family "Bacterial small subunit ribosomal RNA", at positions 31 to 900 of the family's 1533-position model. The record is from RNAcentral.